GAUGAACGCUGGAGGCGUGCUUAACACAUGCAAGUCGAACGGUGAAGCAGAGCUUGCUCUGUGGAUCAGUGGCGAACGGGUGAGUAACACGUGAGCAACCUGCCCCUGACUCUGGGAUAAGCGCUGGAAACGGCGUCUAAUACUGGAUAUGAGCUGCGACCGCAUGGUCAGCAGUUGGAAAGAUUUUUCGGUCUGGGAUGGGCUCACGGCCUAUCAGCUUGUUGGUGAGGUAAUGGCUCACCAAGGCGUCGACGGGUAGCCGGCCUGAGAGGGUGACCGGCCACACUGGGACUGAGACACGGCCCAGACUCCUACGGGAGGCAGCAGUGGGGAAUAUUGCACAAUGGGCGAAAGCCUGAUGCAGCAACGCCGCGUGAGGGAUGACGGCCUUCGGGUUGUAAACCUCUUUUAGCAGGGAAGAAGCGAAAGUGACGGUACCUGCAGAAAAAGCGCCGGCUAACUACGUG
This 467-nucleotide ribosomal RNA is filed under the name uncultured bacterium. Its description in RNAcentral is "partial 16S ribosomal RNA". It matches the Rfam family "Bacterial small subunit ribosomal RNA", at positions 28 to 507 of the family's 1533-position model. The record is from RNAcentral.